UCUCCGUUGGUGAACCUGCGGAGGGAUCAUUACUGAGUUACCGCUCUACAACCCUUUGUGAACAUACCUAACUGUUGCUUCGGCGGGCAGAGGUCCCUCGCGGAUCUCUCCCGGCAACGCCCUCACGGGCGGAGCGCCCGCCGGAGGAUACCAAACUCUAUUUUAACGACGUUUCUUCUGAGUGGCACAAGCAAAUAAUUAAAACUUUUAACAACGGAUCUCUUGGUUCUG
Molecule: unclassified non-coding RNA, 231 nt
Filed under: plant metagenome
Description: partial contains small subunit ribosomal RNA, internal transcribed spacer 1, and 5.8S ribosomal RNA
Source: RNAcentral